UACGUAGGGGGCGAGCGUUGUCCGGAAUUACUGGGCGUAAAGCGCGCGUAGGCGGCUUGGUAAGUCGGUUGUGGAAGCCCCGGGCUCAACCCGGGAAUUGCGACCGAAACUGCUGAGCUAGAGUGCGGUAGGGGGUGCUGGAAUUCCUGGUGUAGCGGUGAAAUGCAUAGAUAUCAGGAGGAACACCGGUGGCGAAGGCGGGCACCUGGGCCGCCACUGACGCUGAGGCGCGAAAGCUAGGGGAGCAAACCGG
RNAcentral lists this ribosomal RNA (253 nucleotides) under uncultured bacterium. RNAcentral's name for it is "partial 16S ribosomal RNA". It matches the Rfam family "Bacterial small subunit ribosomal RNA", at positions 524 to 776 of the family's 1533-position model. The record is from RNAcentral.